Molecule: ribosomal RNA, 459 nt
Filed under: uncultured bacterium
Lineage: Bacteria
Description: partial 16S ribosomal RNA
Rfam family: Bacterial small subunit ribosomal RNA
Source: RNAcentral
CCUACGGGAGGCAGCAGUGAGGAAUAUUGGUCAAUGGUCGAGAGUCUGAACCAGCCAAGUCGCGUGAGGGAUGAAGGCCCUACGGGUUGUAAACCUCUUUUGCCAGGGAACAAAGCCCGGGACGCGUCCCCCCUCGAGUGUACCCGACGAACAAGCAUCGGCUAACUCCGUGCCAGCAGCCGCGGUAAUACGGAGGAUGCGAGCGUUAUCCGGAUUUAUUGGGUUUAAAGGGUGCGCAGGCGGUCUCGGAAGUCAGCGGUAAAAUUGGGGGGCCAAACCUCGGCCCGCCGUUGAAACUGGGAGUCUUGAGUGGGAGAGAAGUAUGCGGAAUGCGUGGUGUAGCGGUGAAAUGCAUAGAUAUCGCGCAGAACUCCGAUUGCGAAGGCAGCGUGCCGGAGCCAAACUGACGCUGAUGCACGAAAGCGUGGGUAUCGAACAGGAUUAGAUACCCGUGUAGUC